RNAcentral lists this transfer RNA (75 nucleotides) under Candidatus Berkelbacteria bacterium CG_4_10_14_0_2_um_filter_35_9_33_12. Its description in RNAcentral is "tRNA-Gly". It matches the Rfam family "tRNA". Rfam says of the family: Transfer RNA (tRNA) molecules are approximately 80 nucleotides in length. Lineage: Bacteria; Candidatus Berkelbacteria. RNAcentral also lists the same sequence under 4 other names. The record is from RNAcentral.
GCGGGUGUAGUUCAGCGGUAGAAUGCUUCCUUGCCAAGGAAGAGGUCGGCGGUUCAAAUCCGCUCACCCGCUCCA